GACGAACGCUGGCGGCGUGCUUAACACAUGCGAGUCGAACGGAAAGGCCCUGCUUUUGUGGGGUGCUCGAGUGGCGAACGGGUGAGUAACACGUGAGUAACCUGCCCUUGACUUUGGGAUAACUUCAGGAAACUGGGGCUAAUACCGGAUAGGAGCUCCUGCUGCAUGGUGGGGGUUGGAAAGUUUCGGCGGUUGGGGAUGGACUCGCGGCUUAUCAGCUUGUUGGUGGGGUAGUGGCUUACCAAGGCUUUGACGGGUAGCCGGCCUGAGAGGGUGACCGGCCACAUUGGGACUGAGAUACGGCCCAGACUCCUACGGGAGGCAGCAGUGGGGAAUAUUGCACAAUGGGCGGAAGCCUGGUGCAGCAACGCCGCGUGCGGGAUGACGGCCUUCGGGUUGUAAACCGCUUUCGCCUGUGACGAAGCGUGAGUGACGGUAAUGGGUAAAGAAGCACCGGCUAACUACGUG
RNAcentral lists this ribosomal RNA (468 nucleotides) under uncultured bacterium. RNAcentral's name for it is "partial 16S ribosomal RNA". It matches the Rfam family "Bacterial small subunit ribosomal RNA", at positions 28 to 507 of the family's 1533-position model. The record is from RNAcentral.